UCCGGCAAUUUCCAAAGGCCAAGACGAGCAUGGAUGAAGACUGAUUCUUAAUUGCAUGGAACUUCUUUAAGCCUAUACAAAGCUGAAGCAAGGACAUCUCCACAGUGGUCAUCUGGGAGAGCUCAUUAAAGGAACUUUUAUUUGAGAACCAUUUCUGAUUAACGUAAAGCUGGCUGCCAGAGUUUUAGUGCCUGCCAACCUGCUACAAACUAAGCAAACAGAAAUCAUCUGCUGGG
RNAcentral lists this long non-coding RNA (236 nucleotides) under Aquila chrysaetos chrysaetos. RNAcentral describes it as "lncRNA (ENSACCG00020012641.1)". The record is from RNAcentral. Lineage: Eukaryota; Metazoa; Chordata; Aves; Accipitriformes; Accipitridae.